CACGUAGGGCGCAAGCGUUGUCCGGAAUUAUUGGGCGUAAAGAGCUCGUAGGCGGUUUGUCACGUCUGCUGUGAAAUCCCGAGGCUCAACCUCGGGCCUGCAGUGGGUACGGGCAGACUGGAGUGCGGUAGGGGAGAAUGGAAUUCCUGGUGUAGCGGUGGAAUGCGCAGAUAUCAGGAGGAACACCGAUGGCGAAGGCAGUUCUCUGGGCCGUAACUGACGCUGAGGAGCGAAAGCGUGGGGAGCGAACAGG
This 253-nucleotide ribosomal RNA is filed under the name uncultured bacterium. RNAcentral describes it as "partial 16S ribosomal RNA". It matches the Rfam family "Bacterial small subunit ribosomal RNA", at positions 524 to 776 of the family's 1533-position model. The record is from RNAcentral.